AGCGUCACUUGUGUUUUAACCUGUGGACUAAGACUUAUAGACAGAUGCAAAACUAAGUCUUUGCCACCCAGAGCACAUGGUUCAGUAUGAGCUUUGAUGCGUACCAGGAGGGUG
This 114-nucleotide small nucleolar RNA is filed under the name Nannospalax galili (Upper Galilee mountains blind mole rat). RNAcentral describes it as "Small nucleolar RNA SNORA40 (ENSNGAG00000008559.1)". It matches the Rfam family "Small nucleolar RNA SNORA40". Rfam says of the family: The snoRNA ACA 40 belongs to the H/ACA family of snoRNAs and guides the pseudouridylation of 28S rRNA subunit at position U4565. NB This family has a high threshold value to exclude a large number of closely related sequences that do not appear to have conserved H and ACA boxes, and may be pseudogenes. Lineage: Eukaryota; Metazoa; Chordata; Mammalia; Rodentia; Spalacidae. The record is from RNAcentral.